RNAcentral lists this ribosomal RNA (1517 nucleotides) under Escherichia coli. RNAcentral's name for it is "bacterial SSU rRNA". It matches the Rfam family "Bacterial small subunit ribosomal RNA". The record is from RNAcentral. Lineage: Bacteria; Pseudomonadati; Pseudomonadota; Gammaproteobacteria; Enterobacterales; Enterobacteriaceae.
AGAGUUUGAUCAUGGCUCAGAUUGAACGCUGGCGGCAGGCCUAACACAUGCAAGUCGAACGGUAACAGAAAGCAGCUUGCUGCUUUGCUGACGAGUGGCGGACGGGUGAGUAAUGUCUGGGAAACUGCCUGAUGGAGGGGGAUAACUACUGGAAACGGUAGCUAAUACCGCAUAACGUCGCAAGACCAAAGAGGGGGACCUUCGGGCCUCUUGCCAUCGGAUGUGCCCAGAUGGGAUUAGCUUGUUGGUGGGGUAACGGCUCACCAAGGCGACGAUCCCUAGCUGGUCUGAGAGGAUGACCAGCCACACUGGAACUGAGACACGGUCCAGACUCCUACGGGAGGCAGCAGUGGGGAAUAUUGCACAAUGGGCGCAAGCCUGAUGCAGCCAUGCCGCGUGUAUGAAGAAGGCCUUCGGGUUGUAAAGUACUUUCAGCGGGGAGGAAGGGAGUAAAGUUAAUACCUUUGCUCAUUGACGUUACCCGCAGAAGAAGCACCGGCUAACUCCGUGCCAGCAGCCGCGGUAAUACGGAGGGUGCAAGCGUUAAUCGGAAUUACUGGGCGUAAAGCGCACGCAGGCGGUUUGUUAAGUCAGAUGUGAAAUCCCCGGGCUCAACCUGGGAACUGCAUCUGAUACUGGCAAGCUUGAGUCUCGUAGAGGGGGGUAGAAUUCCAGGUGUAGCGGUGAAAUGCGUAGAGAUCUGGAGGAAUACCGGUGGCGAAGGCGGCCCCCUGGACGAAGACUGACGCUCAGGUGCGAAAGCGUGGGGAGCAAACAGGAUUAGAUACCCUGGUAGUCCACGCCGUAAACGAUGUCGACUUGGAGGCUUGGCCGGCGUGGCUUCCGGAGCUAACGCGUUAAGUCGACCGCCUGGGGAGUACGGCCGCAAGGUUAAAACUCAAAUGAAUUGACGGGGGCCCGCACAAGCGGUGGAGCAUGUGGUUUAAUUCGAUGCAACGCGAAGAACCUUACCUGGUCUUGACAUCCACGGAAGUUUUCAGAGAUGAGAAUGUGCCUUCGGGAACCGUGAGACAGGUGCUGCAUGGCUGUCGUCAGCUCGUGUUGUGAAAUGUUGGGUUAAGUCCCGCAACGAGCGCAACCCUUAUCCUUUGUUGCCAGCGGUCCGGCCGGGAACUCAAAGGAGACUGCCAGUGAUAAACUGGAGGAAGGUGGGGAUGACGUCAAGUCAUCAUGGCCCUUACGACCAGGGCUACACACGUGCUACAAUGGCGCAUACAAAGAGAAGCGACCUCGCGAGAGCAAGCGGACCUCAUAAAGUGCGUCGUAGUCCGGAUUGGAGUCUGCAACUCGACUCCAUGAAGUCGGAAUCGCUAGUAAUCGUGGAUCAGAAUGCCACGGUGAAUACGUUCCCGGGCCUUGUACACACCGCCCGUCACACCAUGGGAGUGGGUUGCAAAAGAAGUAGGUAGCUUAACCUUCGGGAGGGCGCUUACCACUUUGUGAUUCAUGACUGGGGUGAAGUCGUAACAAGGUAACCGUAGGGGAACCUGCGGUUG